Mus musculus (house mouse) is the source of this 1030-nucleotide long non-coding RNA. RefSeq annotates it as predicted gene, 41416. The record is from RefSeq and is a predicted model, not a curated record. The transcript is spliced from 2 exons. Lineage: Eukaryota; Metazoa; Chordata; Mammalia; Rodentia; Muridae.
CCUCCUCUUUUUCAUUCUUUUCUUCCUCUUUAUUCUUAUCUUCUUCUUCUCUUUCCUCUUUCUAUCUCUUCUUGCUUGUGGUAGAAAAGCACCCCAGCCUGUGCAGGCUAGCUCACAGCAUCCCAGCAUGUGCAGGUGAGCUCAUAGCAUCCCAGCAUGUGCAGGCUAGCUCAUAGCACCCCAGCCUGUGCAGGCUAGCUCACAGCAUUCCAGCCUGUGCAGGCUAGCUCAUAGCAUCCCAGCAUGUGCAGGCUGGCUCACAGCACCCCAGCCUGUGCAGGCUAGCUCACAGCAUCCCAGCCUGUGCAGGCUAGCUCACAGCAUCCCAGCUUAUACAGGCUACCUCACACAGCACCCUAGCCUGUGCAGGCUAGCUCAUAGCAUCCCAGCAUGUGCAGGCUAGCUCACACAGCACCCCAACCUGUGCAGGUGAGCUCACAGCAUCCCAGCCUGUGCAGGAUAGCUCACAGCAUCCUAGCCUGUGCAGGUGAGCUCACAGCAUCCCAGCCUGUACAGGCUAACUCACACAGCACCUGAGCCUGUGCAGGUGAGCUCACAGCAUCCCAGCCUGUACAGGCUAAUUCACACAGCACCCCAGCCUGUGCAGGUGAGCUCACAGCAUUCCAGCCUGUACAGGCUAGCUCACACAGCACCCCAGCCUGUGCAGGUGAGCUCACAGCAUCCCAGCCUGUACAGGCUAGCUCACACAGCACCCCAGCCUGUGCAGGUGAGCUCACAGCAUCCCAGCCUGUGCAGGCUAACUCACACAGCACCCCAGCCUGUGCAGGUGAGCUCAUAGCAUCCCAGCAUGUGCAGGUGAGCUCAUAGCAUCCCAGCAUGUGCAGGCUAGCUCACAGCACCCCAGCCUGUGCAGGUGAGCUCACAGCAUCCUAGCCUGUGCAGGUGAGCUCUAUGCUGUUGGUUUAAACACAGCCUCAGAUGAUUAUCCUGACCAUGUCACUUACAAGCUCUGUGACCUUGGACAAUUUUUUUCAUCUUCUUAAGCCAUAUUCAAUUUGUUAAAAAAAAA